GGGGACCUAGCUCAGUUGAUGGAGUGUUUGCCUAGCACACACAAGCCCCUGGGUUCAAUCCCCAGCACCA
This 70-nucleotide transfer RNA is filed under the name Marmota monax (woodchuck). RNAcentral describes it as "tRNA.Ala". The record is from RNAcentral. Lineage: Eukaryota; Metazoa; Chordata; Mammalia; Rodentia; Sciuridae.